GCCAGUGUGGUGUAGUGGUCUGAGUGUUGGAGUAUGACUCUGGAGACCAGGGUUCGAUUCCCCACUCGGCCA
Molecule: transfer RNA, 72 nt
Filed under: Phrynosoma platyrhinos (Desert horned lizard)
Lineage: Eukaryota; Metazoa; Chordata; Lepidosauria; Squamata; Phrynosomatidae
Description: tRNA-OTHER
Source: RNAcentral